Molecule: ribosomal RNA, 259 nt
Filed under: uncultured Leptotrichia sp.
Lineage: Bacteria; Fusobacteriati; Fusobacteriota; Fusobacteriia; Fusobacteriales; Leptotrichiaceae
Description: partial 16S ribosomal RNA
Rfam family: Bacterial small subunit ribosomal RNA
Source: RNAcentral
UGGCGGACGGGUGAGUAACGCGUAAAGAACUUGCCCUUUAGACUGGGAUAACAGAGGGAAACUUCUGAUAAUACUGGAUAAGUUAGUAUAUCGCAUGAUAUGCAAAUGAAAGCUACGGCACUAAAGGAGAGCUUUGCGUCCUAUUAGCUAGUUGGUAAGGUAAGAGCUUACCAAGGCGAUGAUAGGUAGCCGGCCUUAGAGGGUGGACGGCCACAAGGGGACUGAGAUACGGCCCUUACUCCUACGGGAGGCAGCAGCA